UACGGGGGGUGCAAGCGUUAUUCGGAAUCACUGGGCGUAAAGGGCGCGUAGGCGGUCUUUUAAGUCAGAUGUGAAAGCCCUCGGCUUAACCGAGGAAGUGCAUUUGGUACUAAAAGACUUGAGUAUGGGAGAGGGAAGCGGAAUUCCCGGUGUAGCGGUGAAAUGCGUAGAUAUCAGGAGGAACACCGGUGGCGAAGGCGGCUUCCUGGACCAAUACUGACGCUGAGGCGCGAAGGCGUGGGGAGCAAACAGG
RNAcentral lists this ribosomal RNA (253 nucleotides) under uncultured bacterium. Its description in RNAcentral is "partial 16S ribosomal RNA". It matches the Rfam family "Bacterial small subunit ribosomal RNA", at positions 524 to 776 of the family's 1533-position model. The record is from RNAcentral.